CAGUAGCCGCGGUAAUACGUAGGGUCCGAGCGUUGUCCGGAAUUACUGGGCGUAAAGAGCUCGUAGGUGGUUUGUCGCGUUGUUCGUGAAAACUCACAGCUCAACUGUGGGCGUGCGGGCGAUACGGGCAGACUAGAGUACUGCAGGGGAGACUGGAAUUCCUGGUGUAGCGGUGGAAUGCGCAGAUAUCAGGAGGAACACCGGUGGCGAAGGCGGGUCUCUGGGCAGUAACUGACGCUGAGGAGCGAAGGCGUGGGGAGCGAACAGGAUUAGAGACCCCUGUAGUCCCUGUCUCUUAUAC
RNAcentral lists this ribosomal RNA (301 nucleotides) under uncultured bacterium. Its description in RNAcentral is "partial 16S ribosomal RNA". It matches the Rfam family "Bacterial small subunit ribosomal RNA", at positions 509 to 807 of the family's 1533-position model. The record is from RNAcentral.